GUUCCCGGGGGCGGACACAAACUUGCUCGGGAGAGGUUGGCACCUAGGUGUCGCGGUUCCUAAGCCCACCAAAGGGACUGAGUCUCAGAGCGUAACGUCAGACCCAGUUUGCCUUCUGGGGAAAGCUGGCCCAAGUGAGUCACCCAAUCCAUCCAUCGUGCCCGAGGGAUUACUACCAGAGUGGAGAAGUGUCAGGGCCAGGACCUGGAAGUUUCAUCUCUCCGGUACUCUAGCCCACGAGAAGUCAGGUUGGUCUAACCGACCUAAACCUUGGACAGGUACUUGGUGCCUUCAUAGUCUUCUUUGAAAGGCAGAUAGAAGUGCAAUAAUUGCUUGGCUUUCACACCGUCUUUGGACAAGGCUCUCCAUAACAGGAUUCAGUCGUGUGUUGCAGCACUGCUUCUAAGGAUAAAAGCCAGGAAACAAUCGACUCUUGGAUUUGUAAGAGACUGAGGAUAUACAAGGGCAGGAAUCUCCAAGAUGAAUAAUAAAGGAAAGCAGAAAAGGAGUUUAUAUAAGAGACAUUUACAUAUGAUAAAAGAAGCAAGCCAGCAACGGUAAAAUCACACCAAAACUACGAAGGGGAAGGGAAGGGUCAAGGCAGGGACGGGAAUGGCUGAGCACUGCAGGCAGGAGAGGAGAGCCUUUGAGGUCUUCACCUGAGAGCCCUCAAGCUUUGGGAGCAAAUUAUCUAUCUUAAAAAUUAGGUAUUAGGACAACAGCAGAGUAGCUUUGAUGCAAUCAUUUCUCAAUUACACUGUACAA
RNAcentral lists this long non-coding RNA (765 nucleotides) under Rattus norvegicus (Norway rat). RNAcentral's name for it is "long non-coding RNA NONRATT011999". Lineage: Eukaryota; Metazoa; Chordata; Mammalia; Rodentia; Muridae. The record is from RNAcentral.